This 502-nucleotide ribosomal RNA is filed under the name uncultured bacterium. Its description in RNAcentral is "partial 16S ribosomal RNA". It matches the Rfam family "Bacterial small subunit ribosomal RNA", at positions 29 to 507 of the family's 1533-position model. The record is from RNAcentral.
AGCGAACGCUGGCGGCGUGCCUAACACAUGCAAGUCGAACGUGAAAGGGAGCAAUCCCAAGUAAAGUGGCGUACGGGUGAGUAACACGUAGGUAAUCUACCCCAGAAUCUGGAAUAACCGGCCGAAAGGCUGGCUAAUACUGGAUAGAGCGACGGAAUCCGUAAUUGGGUUUUUCGGGAAAGGGAGCCUGUAAAAAGGCCUUCGUUCUGGGAUGAGCCUGCGUCCCAUCAGCUAGUUGGUGAGGUAAAAGCUUACCAAGGCAAUGACGGGUAGCUGGUAGGAGAGGACGAUCAGCCACACUGGAAGUGAAACACGGUCCAGACUCCUACGGGAGGCAGCAGUGGGGAAUCUUGAGCAAUGGACGAAAGUCUGACGCAGCAACGCCGCGUGAGUGAAGAAGGACUUCGGGUUGUAAAGCUCUGUCGAGUGGGACGAAAAUGCUUGGAGUUCACAGCUCCAGGAACUGACGGUACCACUAAAGGAAGCACCGGCUAACUCCGUG